This is a long non-coding RNA of Cydia pomonella (codling moth), 1132 nucleotides long. RefSeq lists it as uncharacterized. The transcript has 3 exons. The record is from RefSeq and is a predicted model, not a curated record. Lineage: Eukaryota; Metazoa; Arthropoda; Insecta; Lepidoptera; Tortricidae.
GCCUGGAGCCAGUGCACCCGAGGCCGCCGGAGUGGGAGGACGCGCGGACUGCCCUCGCGGACUGUGAGUGAACGUUGGAAGUGUUAAUAUCGAAGUUUCAACGGUUUGUUUCGAUUUGGUUUAACGGUGUGCGGUCAGAUACAUGCUCCAACUGCGAUAGCAAACUUUGAAAAUUGAAAUUUCUAAAAGUAUUAGUGAACAGUUAAAACUGUCAGAAGUUUGAUUAGCUGGCAUUUACUCCCAUCUUCUUCAAUUUAGGAUAACAAACAUUAAACUUGUGACAUUCCGUCAUGGCCCCACCUGCUCAGCUCGCCCCCGAACGACAGCACUCCCUCCGGCUACAGACUGAUUCCUAUCUAUACAGUUGAGCUCUAAACAUGGUUAAGUAGUGUAGCAUAAGACUUACAAUAGUACAAUGAGCUUAUAAGUUAAGUGGAUGAACGAGAUGCCUUACUACGGGUAUCGGGAGGGGGAGUCGGACUCGGGAGGGGGCUCGGAGUCCGACGGGGGCGAGGACUCGGAGGGGGGGAUGAGUACGGAGAGCUCGGCGGGGCAGGGGCUGCCUUAUCCCGGGUUCACCCCCGUGGCACUGCGGUACCUGACGCAAGACUCGAGGCCGAGAAGCUGGUGUCUCAAGCUGAUCACCAAUCCAUAUCCUUUUCAAUAUCUAUAAUUAAAAGGCAAGUGGUUAUUAAGUUAUUAUUAAGCAGGUUGAUUAUUGAAUGUUGUCACAGAUUUGCAUCGUUUUAAACAUCAGUAUCGAUAGAUAGCCGAAGUCUACUUGCUUAUUUUUUUGUGCAGAUAACUUCAGAAACUUCGGUCGUAAUAUUGACAUCAAUAAUGACAUGCUUCUCAUAUUUGUCACGUUAAUUAAACUCAGGGCUAGAAGGUACAGAUUUCAUCUAACUAUACCAAAUUUUUAGUAUAGGUACCUCUUGAAUCUGGAUGGUAACACUAAAAAGUACGACAGAAAUAAUUUUAUUGUCCAUGCUUACAUUUUAGGCAAAAUUAAUUAUAUUACCAAGAACUAGACCUCAUCAUUAUGUUGGCUUGUAUAUAUUCUGAGUUAGCAAUGACGCGAAUAAUACUUGAUGAAAUUGAAUGAAAUAUUUAUGACAGAUCACGACAAACU